Molecule: long non-coding RNA, 691 nt
Organism: Lotus japonicus
Lineage: Eukaryota; Viridiplantae; Streptophyta; Magnoliopsida; Fabales; Fabaceae
Exons: 3
Source: RefSeq, a predicted model, not a curated record
UUUUCAAACAAACACUAAAACCCAGUGUUUUUUCUCUCUAUCUGGGAAAUAACCUAACUCACGCGUUCCACCUCCUGCAUCUGCCACCUCUAGCUCUAGCAACCUCCUGCAUCAUCUCACGAAAAAACCCUCACUGUCGCUCGUGCUCGCCGUUCACCUCACCGUCGCUCGUGCUCGCCGUUCACCUCCUGCACCGUUCACUCUCUUUCUCUCUCAAUCUCCAAAAGGAUCUUCGGUUUUCUCUGAAAUUCCACGCUCAUGGCCGCCGCCAUCGCUCGUGCUUGUGCCCGUGCUCCACUAUAACAGUUGUGCUGUUAUUCCUGCGGGUUUUCACCUCAAUCUUCAGGUCCCGUUUUUGUUGAACAUUCACUCUCUCUCCUAGUCCUGCUUGUGGAAGCUGUUAUGGUUGCGUACUGUGUUUGAUCGAUAAGGAACGUGCUAGUGUUCUUGUUGGGUCAGGGAUGAGUGGUUUGACUGUUUUCUGUUGGUGUUAACCCUAAUUUGAUUUGUGGAGUUUUGAUUUUGCUCUCACUACAGGAAGAUGUCUUUAUGAUUUAUUGAUUUAAGAAAGCACAAAACAAUGAUACAUGUUACCAAUUUUAAUUGGCUUUAUGAAUGGAAAUCAAGUCCUCUGGUAUGUAUUUCCUCGUUGUAGCCUAAGUGUUUCAUGGGUAUUCAUGUUGGGGCCAUC